GGUCUUUUCAGUUUCAUUUCUACACUUUUCUACAAUAACUACAUGUAACAAGGUAAUUUAGUGUCCCUCCAUAUACCUCAUAGCUUAAUGUAAUAUUUUUAACUUGAAAAUUGCAUUGGAUUUUGUUAUAUGUUAUACAGAAAUGCAUAAUGCUCAGUACAGAAGUAUGUCAAAUGUGUAACUCCUACACCAGUCUGUAUUCACACCAAUAAUGCAUUUUGCCUUAAUUUCACAUAAAGAAAGAUACAGAACAAAAUGUAAAGAAGCUUAUACAGGACAAAUAUGUCAGCUUUUGCUUCUCUCCAAGGCCUGCAAGCAAAAGGAUAUCUACAGAAUAUUUAAGCAAGCAUUAUGGAUGUUGUCAAAGCAUCACACGUGCUUAUAGGAUUUCUAACUAGGCAGAGAUGCAAGAUAUAACUCUUGGCUGUUCAGUGUUAAGUAAAAAGUCUGUAGCACCAGAAUUCUGGUUUUGGCAUCUACCUAAAAUUGGAUUAUAAGAAAUAUAUUGUUAUAUUUCUUCACUCAGAUCUACUUCUAAAGUAAAGUGGCUUACCCUUCGUAUUUGCUUCUAUGCUUUAUCCUGGAAAAUUAUAUUCCACAAUUUCAGAAGAAAACACAUGAUUAGGUUGAUCAAGAAA
This is a long non-coding RNA of Oxyura jamaicensis (ruddy duck), 638 nucleotides long. RefSeq lists it as uncharacterized. NCBI's taxonomy places the organism in Eukaryota, Metazoa, Chordata, Aves, Anseriformes, Anatidae. The record is from RefSeq and is a predicted model, not a curated record. The transcript is spliced from 3 exons.